RNAcentral lists this long non-coding RNA (497 nucleotides) under Lathyrus oleraceus (garden pea). RNAcentral's name for it is "Pisum sativum (pea) long non-coding RNA (PSAT_LNC012063)". The record is from RNAcentral. Lineage: Eukaryota; Viridiplantae; Streptophyta; Magnoliopsida; Fabales; Fabaceae.
UUAAAUUGGCGCCUCCUCAUAAAAGUGGGGUAUUUUGGGAUUUUUUUUGAAACUAGGGGUAUUUUGGGAAUUUCCUUGAAAAAAUGAGUUAUUUUUAUAAAAAAAAUCGAAAAUGGUCUGACCUUUUUUUCAUCAAAUUUUAUCAUUUAUCAAUUGUUACAAUUACUAAUAAUUAUUAAAUUUAAAAAAAAUACAAAAAGAAAAUCAUUUAUUAAAUAUGUAACCUCCAUCAAUACAUCAAAUAACUUCCUCCAACACAUCAAAUAUACUAAAUAACUUCCUCUAACAUCACUAUAUAUGAUAACUGCAUAUGUAAUAAAAAGAUAAGAAGAUACAAGUUUAGAAUGGAACAAAGAGAGGGAAUAAUGGUUUCAAAACACAAUUGCAUAAAGGAAACAUAUAUUUAUAUAAAUAGAAGGAAACUAUAUAUUUCAAAACUCAAAAAAUAUUUCUUUCUUUCUUUCUCUCUCCUCGCGAAAGUAUGUAGGAAAAAAAAC